RNAcentral lists this ribosomal RNA (433 nucleotides) under uncultured bacterium. RNAcentral's name for it is "partial 16S ribosomal RNA". It matches the Rfam family "Bacterial small subunit ribosomal RNA", at positions 29 to 507 of the family's 1533-position model. The record is from RNAcentral.
AACGAACGCUGGCGGCAUGCCUAAUACAUGCAAGUCGAACGCGCCCUUCAGGUCUUGUGGCGCACGGGCACGUACUGCGUGUGAACAUGCGCUUAGGUUCGGGAUAAUAACCCGCCAGGGGUGCUAGGACCGGUUUAUGUCACCGGACCAAAGAUGUAUUGACUUUGGUUAGGCCAGCGUUGGUUUAGCUAAGUGGCUGGGUAAAAGCCAACAAAGGGGACGAUCCAUAACUGGUCUGUGAGGAUGAUCAGCCACACUAGGACUGAGACACGGCGCAGAAUCCUACGGAAGGAAGCAGUGCGGAAUAUUGGACAAUGGGCGAAAGCCUGAUCCAGCAAUGCCGCGUGAGUGAUGAAGACCUUAGGGUUGUAAAGCUCUGUUACAAGGGAUGAUAAUGACAGUACCGGAAGAAUAAGCUCCGGCUAACUCCGUG